This 2001-nucleotide long non-coding RNA is filed under the name Heterocephalus glaber (naked mole-rat). RNAcentral's name for it is "lncRNA (ENSHGLG00100047669.1)". Lineage: Eukaryota; Metazoa; Chordata; Mammalia; Rodentia; Bathyergidae. The record is from RNAcentral.
AGAGAGCCAAGGAGAGAAGGGCCAGGGAGGACACAGCUGGCUGGCUGCCUGAGGCCCCAGGGUCCUUCCUGGCUCCCUGUCCAGGCUCCACCCACAGUCACAGCAAUGCCUGGAACCUUCUAGGACAGCCAGAUCCUGACCUACCAGUAUGGGAUCCCCACCUCUCUCCGGAACACAGGCCAGCAGUGGGACUUCCCUAAUGGCUGGGCCCCUCUCCAGGACCUGGUCAUCAGAGGCUUGGCCAAGUCAUCUUCACCUCGGACCCAGGAAGUGGCUUUCCAGCUGGCCCAGAAUUGGAUUCGAACCAACUUUGACGUCUACUCACAAAAGUCAGCCAUGUAUGAGAAGUACGACAUCAGCAAUGGACAGCCGGGCAGUGGAGGGGAGUAUGAAGUUCAGUACCGGGAUUGAACUCAGAACCUUGUGCUUGUGAGGCAGGAAGAUGGAAGAAGAAAUGGCCCUAGAGUAUAGUCCAAACUCAGAUGAGUGGAGGGGAGUGAUUUCCUCAGCCCCUUUUUUCUAACUGCACUAGUUUGCCUGGUCCAAUGGGUUGGCCUGAUGCUCCUGGACCACUAUGGUGACCAGCUGACCUCAGAGACCCAGCUGACUCUCCUGAUGCCCCACUGCCUGGUGGCCACCUUUCUCUCCCACCUCCUGUUCAGCUUCCUGCCAUGGUGGCUAUGGUGGCCACAAGGACCGACCAGGAGGCCACAUGCCCACCUCUAUCUAUCUGCAUGUCCUCGUCUGGCUCCAGCUCCUGCCUCCGUAAACUCCUGCACUACGCUCUCUCCUCCUGCUCCCUUCAGUCACCACCUUCCAACCUGUCUUCUGCUCAUCCUGCACUGGGGGCAGGGCAGUGACCUGGAGGCCAGGGGCUUUGGCCAGGGUUCCUGCUAGAGCCCCUUUACCUCCCUCUCUCUCUCUCUCUCCCUCUUUCUAUUAUAAAUGGUGUUUGAGCGGCCACUUGGAUACAGGCUUUGUGUGAGAAAAAGCUUUAUUCUUGUCCAGGUGUGAACAGGGACUGAAAUUGGGGGCAGAUUUCAGCAGCUAGCUGGGAAGAGCCAAAUUUAUUUCAUCGAUGUGUGGAUAGGCUGACAUCAAGAGAGAGAUAGUAGCAGCUAGCUGGAAGAGAAAACUACGUUUAUAUAGGAUUUGAGAAAGGGCUGUGAUCAUAGGGAAUGUUUAUGACUGAGGGCCCAAGAACAGUCAGCAUGAAUGUGCAGACAAUCACUGGACUUCUUAGUGCCGGGGAGAUUGUAUACUUGGUCCUAAAUUUUCUUUAUGGCCAUCUGUCCUAUUUACUGAGAGUAGCCUGUUGUUUGCAGAGAAUGGCGUGUUUGCUGUGGAGUUCUCAUUUAAGCCAGGCAUGACCCUCUCUCUCUCUCUCUCUUUUUUCUUUUUCUCUUUCUUCUUUUCAGUGCUAGAGCUUGAAACCAGGGCAUCUUGCCUGCAGGCAGGUACUCUACCAGUGAGCUAUACUCCCACCCUAGAACCUUUAAUAUGGUGGAGAUCUUGCUCUGGCAGGUGGGAGGAGACUCAUACCUACUGGCCAUUGUGCCCCAGCCCCACUGCCCCCACAACCUGUCCGUUCACAUACCUACUUAGUCCAAAUACAGUGCUACCUCAAUUUACAAACUUAAUUUGUUCCACAAUCCUGGGGAAGAUGGCUGCGUUCCUGUUUAUGCAGGGAAGAUGGCCACAGUCAUGUUCAUCACCUGAUACAGAGUUCACAAAUGGAAGCAAAAUUUUGCCAAAUGCUUCUGUUUGUGAACAGAACUGUUCGCAAACAGAAGCAUUUGUGAACCAAGGUUUUACUGUAUUCUGCUGAAAUCCUCACAAAUACUGAAGAACACCCGGCCCAGCCCCAAGCAAUCUAGGUCCCCUGGCUAGGGAUGGUGGAUAGGAGAGCUGUUGCUUCAAAGGAGCUUUAGAGAAGGAGUACAUGAUGAUAAAAUAAAAACUUCUUUAUUGUGUUUGGUUUUGGGGAUCAAACCCAGGGCC